This is a long non-coding RNA of Ostrinia nubilalis (European corn borer), 621 nucleotides long. RefSeq lists it as uncharacterized. The transcript has 2 exons. The record is from RefSeq and is a predicted model, not a curated record. Lineage: Eukaryota; Metazoa; Arthropoda; Insecta; Lepidoptera; Crambidae.
CGGCCUGCAUUAGGCACGUGGAUCUGCAGCAUGGCGAUCAGUCUGCGAUUGUAUUUUUUUUGCACAAUACUCAUAGUUUUUGUGAAAGCAGAUGAUCUACCACGACCGGAACAAGAGGUCUUACAACCUGAAGAAUCAAACGGCAUCUUCGGAGUAUCCAGUGUCGCCGGCAUUGCAUCCAGGAACGGUCGCGUCUCAUCCCUCGGCGGAAUCCAGAUCUACCCCGGCCUGGACCAACAAAUAACUUACAGUAGCAAUGACGGAGCAGGAUACUACUAUCCUUUAACAGUCACGAAAGAAGGAGACGGAAAAUACGCGUCGGGGUCCAUACAGUUAUACCCGGGAUCAGUAGUCGUUUCUUCAACAGCUAGAUCAGGAUAUCCAUCUGAUAUAAAACCUCUACCUCUAAGCAUAAACCGACCAUUCAAGGAGUUUAUAUUCCAGCCAGUGCCCGAUUUCUUCGAAAAGCAAAGGAAUAUAGACCCUAUUGAGCCCUGGUUUAUGAAGAACAUGUUCCCCUUUAGUCCGCCAAGACCUGAUGCCGCGGAGAAUCCCUGGCUCUAUCCAACUUUCAAUCCGUUUUUGAACUUCUGGCGUUGAAUAAAUGUGAUUUUUUACUUU